This 310-nucleotide long non-coding RNA is filed under the name Gossypium barbadense (sea-island cotton). Its description in RNAcentral is "long non-coding RNA (GBAR_LNC015099)". Lineage: Eukaryota; Viridiplantae; Streptophyta; Magnoliopsida; Malvales; Malvaceae. The record is from RNAcentral.
AAUCAUUUCAAUCUCGAAUCAUGAUUUGUUGCGUAAAACAUAAUUAAUUUGUGUAUUUUCCCUUUGAGUUUUGCAAUUUAAAUGUUUAAUUAUUGAAUUAUGACUUAUAUCUGGUUUUCAUGAAAUAGGUGGAAGAAUUGGAGCAAAAUAAUCUUGAAGAUAAAAUUUGGCAAGAUUGUACGAGUUGGACUCGUUUAGAGAUUUUGACCCUUAUCUUACUUUGUUUUGAUGAUACUUUUUGUUACAAAACUCCGAUUUGGAUUCACAAAAGAUCGUUGAAAAGAGAAUUGAAAGAUAUAAUCGGAUUAUC